GGGAGGGCGCAGCGGCAGAGCGCCCGCCGGCCGACAAGACCGGCUGGGGCGGGGCGGGCAGUAGGAGAGGCGGGUCCAAGGCCCUGCGCCGAGGGUGAGGGAAGGUUGGUCGGGACCGGCUGCUGAGCGCUUUUGUCACAACCUUUGCCCGUCCUGGGGCCGCCUCGAGAGCCGUCUUCGUUGGGACCAGCCGGGUGGGGCAGGCGGGCGGUUUUAGGGCUUGGUGCCUCGUGCAUGCUGUCGGCGGAAGGCUAAGCUGCGGAAGCCACGGAUUCGUUUGUUCUGCCUGAGAAAGGACUGACGUCUUUGGUUCUGGAUAUAAUUCCCGAGGACUAGAGCUCCUCCGAGAAACCCAGGCACCUCACUCUUGUUCCGGUGGCUGAGGCAGGAGUCCUAAACUUAAACUGGACCUUCUCCUAGGAGAGUGCGGAAUCCCCUCAAGGGCAGCUUCAUCUUCAGAGUGGGGAACCACACCCAGGUUCUAGAACGUCUUCCUGCCUUGAGGGCAAGUAGGGUUGGAGAGGCAAACUCAAUUCCUCAUUAUGUCCAAAAACAUACCCUAGGAUCUCGGAAAGAAAUGUCUUACUAUUUUCUUGCCCCACCCUUUCUGCCUGGGAAAAUCUUACUAUCUCCCUGGAGCAGGUUUGCAUCCUGAUGAGUCACCAGUUUCAUUUCUGAUUGAAGCUUCUGGGACAUUCAAGGUGUCCCAGUGAUGAAUUGAGGACUUUAACUGGAAGAUUUGUCACAAUGUUUCUGUAGUCUGAGCCAUUUUUCAUCAACAAUUUUGUCGUUGUCGAAUGUACCUAGACCAUUCCCGCUGCCUCCUAACUGCGUAACAGCAAGGCAAGACUCAGCCCCUCUUAGUAAAAAUUAUAUGGUCAGAAGGAAUUAUCAGUCUCUCUUUCAAGAAUGGAAGUCAAUUUUUAAUCAGAAGUGCUUACAAGCUCGAUUGAAGGCCAAAAGAAAAUGCUUCUAAUAAAUGCACUUUUGCUUUAAUUCAUCUUGCUAUUCUUGAGCUCUGAUACCCAAAGAAUUUAGUCUCCUAGUGCUAACAAAUUUGCUGGUUGGUUUCCUAUGACACAGCUUAAGGCCUUUUUAAACAUGACUUGUUUCAAAUGUUUGUGAAACAUUUACAAAAAUUACAAGACUUAAAGCAGUGGUGUGACUUUGCACUUUCCAAAAUUGUAUCAGUUGAUAAUGUAAGGAUAAUACUGCACCAGUAUUAUCAGUAACAGCAACAGUAAGCAACAGUAAACUCUUCCUAAAAGCGUGCAGAGUCCAAAAGCUCAAAUUUCAGACUAUGGUAUUGAGACCUGUAAGUUCUUUCAUUACUGCAGUAAAAAUUCUUAAAGUGAUUUCUGGAAAAAAAAACCCACAAUGUACUGCCUGGUUUCACACAUAUUCCCAUCUCUGGCAUUACAAGCUUUGUCCUCACUGAUGGCUAGCCUGCUGCCUUUGCUAGGCUUUUCCACAUUGCUUAAAUGUGGUACUGAUUCUCCACCAGGAGCUAUUCUGCUGGUCUCAUGUGCUACUUUUGCUUUAAGGAUGUGUGGCUAUUGCUCAGUAUGUCCAUAUCUCCCAGGUCUCCUUUGUACCCAUUUGGACUGAGGGGGCAGGGGUCUUUAUUGCCCCCAGCGUCAGUCUCCCAUUGACAUAAAAGCCAGCUGGAGUCUGUUCUGGUUUCUUUUUCAAGUGGACUAGCAGGUUAACAUAUGAAUGUAAAAAGUGUAUGUGUGUAAAAUAAGUAUGAAUGUAAAAAGCAUAUACUUGGGCAUCCCUUGCAAUGACCUCACAGGAGCCUGCAGUAAGGGCCUCUGAUGUGCUUUUUGAAAUAGGGCUACAAGGGAAGAAGUCAUCAAUCUUGCCUGUCAAUAGUUGACUGCUCCACGAAAUUUCUGCCUGCAUGGUCGUACAGUGAUCUCAGUGCCAGGUGCUUAGAAAUAAGGCAAUCUUGCCAGUAUUAUCUGCCCAUAGCUGGCACAUAUAAAUGAGUACUUUCUCUGUGGCAGCGACUGUGCUAAGUGUUUUACAUACAAUAUUUUGUGACAUCAUCUCUUAAAACAAGGCCAGGAACAGCUCUGCAUGUGAAGUUUGCUAGAAGGGGAGCUGGACUGAAGACUGGACAGAAAGCCUUUUUAGUGACAGGAGUGAAUACCUGGGAAUCCUUGUUGCUCGAGCCUUAAGCUGUGAUGCUGACCAUCUUUCCUGGGAGUCAUUUGCAAGACCAAAAUAUUCUAUCUUUGAAGAGCUAGAUCUUCUUCUGCUACUUUGCAAGAAAGUAAACAUUCUGAACAAAGAAUCAGACUUUUUUUUACUGUUGUACACUACAGAAGGAAAAAAACCUUCUGGGAGACCCUUAUGAUAACAUCACCCCAAGCGGCCACUGGAUUUGACUUUUUGUUACCAAACAGCAGUCCAAGCCUGGAGCAGGCCAGGGCCACAUCCUUCUUCACCGGACACCUACCCUGUCUGCUGCCACCUUUCUCAGAACCUUCCCAACCAACUGUAAGACCACAAGGAGAAAGCAAGUCCUCUAACCAAAGCAGACAGGGGACAUAUCAAGACUGGAGGCCAAGACAAAGGCCCUCAAUGAAGAGUCACAGACUUUCAUGUCUUCUAAAGAUAUUUAUUACCAUUCCAACAGAUUUCAACAGGGAAAGGCAUGAUCCUUAAUUUCCAAGUCUCCUAUGGAACCCACUGAAGACUCCAGAGCUCUGUUUGUCUUUCUCUGACAGAGGUGGGGGAAGUCUCGAUCUCUGCAAAAGGUAAA
Molecule: non-coding RNA, 2770 nt
Organism: Equus caballus (horse)
Lineage: Eukaryota; Metazoa; Chordata; Mammalia; Perissodactyla; Equidae
Source: RefSeq, a predicted model, not a curated record